GGCAUUCGGAGCUACUAUUGUAAGUUAGAGUGCGACAGCACGGACCUUUUACCAAGUAGGAAUCAGUUCAGCUAUUGAGGAAGGGUAGAGAUUGAUGGUACCUUCAAACGUAAACACUUGAAUGUCAAACAGCGGCAAUUAUGAAACACUAGGACUUUUAUCUGUGACACUUCAGCAUUCCCGCGGAAGUCCGUUAUAUAUGCGUCUGUUUCAAAAUGAACACAGUGGAGCAAUUUGCCUUGUACUGUACGAUGAUCUGCGCUUUUGCCGCCCCAACUGUCAGCAAGGAAGCAAGAACUCCACGUCCAUGUAAGCAAGUACCAGUGUGCGAAUACAAUUGGGAAAUCAUGUGCCUCUCCCAAAAUAGACAAUGAUAUCUCUAUUGUGAAGUCUGCCACCAGCACCACAUGGGAGGUCAAGAUACUGUGCCUAUAUAUAUCCGAUGGUUGGUUUUCAGCUGUGUAGCGCGGGCGAGAAAAAGAAAGGAACAUGCCAGCAGCAUUGGCGACUAACUUGUUCUGCCCCGACUGUUCCUUUUUGCAAGUCUCAUCAGUUACGUUGCAUCUGUCGUUGUGCAAGGGUAACCACUUUGUAGAAGAUUUACUCUACUCAAAAUUGUCAGAACAGGCUGGUGGCACGAGGGUAUAUAUGCAUCGUCAGUGAUAAUAAGAACCACUGGAGGAAUACAACAUAGAUUCUAAUCAUGGAACACUCGCGGAAGGCAACACCGCCGAAAUAAUUUAGGAGCAGCAAAGCAAAAAUAAAUUGA
Long non-coding RNA from Rhipicephalus sanguineus (brown dog tick), 769 nucleotides. RefSeq lists it as uncharacterized. The record is from RefSeq and is a predicted model, not a curated record. The transcript has 7 exons. NCBI's taxonomy places the organism in Eukaryota, Metazoa, Arthropoda, Arachnida, Ixodida, Ixodidae.